UACGUAGGGGGCAAGCGUUGUCCGGAAUCAUUGGGCGUAAAGAGCGUGUAGGCGGCCCGGUAAGUCCGUUGUGAAAGUCGAGGGCUCAACCCUCGAAUGCCGGCGGAUACUGUCGGGCUAGAAUCCGGAAGAGGCGAGUGGAAUUCCUGGUGUAGCGGUGAAAUGCGCAGAUAUCAGGAGGAACACCAAUGGCGAAGGCAGCUCGCUGGGACGGUAUUGACGCUGAGACGCGAAAGCGUGGGGAACAAACAGG
RNAcentral lists this ribosomal RNA (253 nucleotides) under uncultured bacterium. Its description in RNAcentral is "partial 16S ribosomal RNA". It matches the Rfam family "Bacterial small subunit ribosomal RNA", at positions 524 to 776 of the family's 1533-position model. The record is from RNAcentral.